AGUAUUUGUGUGACCUCCAAUCAGCAAAUGGCUGCUUAAGUCUAUUUUGAGUUUAUAUCCAGUUAGCCAUUCGGGAUCCAUCUUGAAUUUCUAGAGGUGCAACUUACGGACUUGAGAUCUUCCUCUUUUCUCACGAGCAUCUUUGAUGGGUUGAGAGUACUAAUUGUAUCCUAGACUUGCUCAUCCCCAACACUGAGGCCCUGAGUCUGUACCCUGACUUGGGGGCUGAACUGGAGCAACUCUUUGCUCUGGGAGAAGAGUUAAAAGGAGUUCACAAUGUUCAGGCCCAGCUGUCUUUUGGGAGAGAUGUCUGCACUGAUUAUGGAUCCAAACAUCAGAGAGGAAGUGACAACUUUUCAGAAUCCUUGAUUCGAAGUCAAGAAAGCCUAGAAGAACAUGCAAGACAACAUUCAAGCAGAACCCAGGGAUACUAUGCAGAAAGUCUUUCAAUUUGAAUACUUUACUUAUUUCUUUACUCAUGUGUGUAUUUAUUGAAUAAAUAGGUAUUAAGGGCU
RNAcentral lists this long non-coding RNA (515 nucleotides) under Homo sapiens (human). Its description in RNAcentral is "HSALNT0337941". Lineage: Eukaryota; Metazoa; Chordata; Mammalia; Primates; Hominidae. The record is from RNAcentral.